Phacochoerus africanus (Common warthog) is the source of this 1717-nucleotide long non-coding RNA. RefSeq lists it as uncharacterized. The transcript is spliced from 5 exons. Lineage: Eukaryota; Metazoa; Chordata; Mammalia; Artiodactyla; Suidae. The record is from RefSeq and is a predicted model, not a curated record.
UCCCAGUGAGGAGCAGAGCCUGGGCAGACAAAACACUAGUGCUUUUUCAGACACCACUCAGGUCCUCAAGCACUGGUUUCCUGAUGCCAUACAUGAAACAGAAGGCUGAUUUUGGAAACUGCAUGCUCAGGAAUCAAGCCAAAUAGUUUGCAUUCAGGGUUAUGAUGCUGGAGAAUCCAAAGGCAGUGAGACCCCAGGCAGCCUGCCAAACCGUUUAGUCUUAGCGCUCCACCAGCAAGCACUAUGGAAAUGACCCUUAGUUGUAAAGGAAGAACCGCGUACCCACUCUCAGGAGAGGAACUUUGGACCCGAGAGCCAGAAGCAACCUGUAACUCACCUUUCCUUGCUGGGCACAUCCUCGGGGUUCCACCAGCACCAUUUCCAACCCCAGCUCUAAGCCUGGGAGUGCCAAACUGCAGGUGGGCAGUGUCAGGGCUCCUUGUCCUCUAGCGACCGUUACCUCUACUGACAACUCAGAUCCCAUCCUCUGCCUCCCGAUGGCAAACCGUUCUGUCUGCACUGCUCGUGACCAUCUGUGAGCCUCAUCUGGUCCUCCUUUCUUUCUCAGAAAACUCAAGGGCCUUACAGAGGGUGGUGUUUCUCUCUCAAAGUCUCCCAUAUCCUUCCCUGCUCCCUAUCAGCAGCCCUUGAAGUCAAUCAGCCAAAUGCACUAUGAGUCAGAUAAUUGGCUGUAAAUUAUCUCCCCGCUGUCCUCCUUUUAGCCCCCCUUUAUCUUACGCGAUCUGGCUUUAGACAAGAUUUCCCCUCAGGGGUGCACAAAAGGAGGGAGAGGCUCCGAUCAAAGAAAAAUGUGGAAUAUUCAGAGAACACUCGAGAGAGACAGGUUUCUGGGAUGGGCAGAGCCUGCCCUCCAAAGGACCCCUCUUUUGUACCCUCCCCUGAUGACCACUGGCCCUGCCCUCCAGAUGCCAAACAUCGUGGAAGCCUGAUUCUGGAAGACAAAAUGCCCAGUCCUCAAACAAACUGCGUGUGCUUCAGAGUUCUGCCUCCGGAGGAUCAAAAGGCAGUCUGAACCUCACAUAUCUGUCCUUUAAGGUGGGCUUUGGGCUAGCUGUGCCACUUGAAAGUGACCCAGAUGUGGGAAGGUGGAACAAGUUUCCUUUCACCAGGUCAUUGAGCUGAACCCACUCCAAGUCAUGUGAUCAGAUUUCAAUGAGUCAGCCUCCCCAUCUUCAUUUCUGUCACUCGGGUCGAGAUGCAGCCUCUGCAGAAUCCAAAGGCAGUCAGAUCUCUUCACGGACUGUCCAGUCACCUGGACCUCAGGCUACCUGAGCUGUCAGAAAGUGACCCGCAGAUGGGAAGAGCAGGACAAGGUCCUCCCUAUCAGGAACAAUGGUUUCAGCUCUCCUAGGCAAACACCGUGCAUUCCUGGCUCUGGAAAACUGCAUGCCAAAUUUUCUGACCAACUACUUGUGGGUUGAGAGUUCUCCUUUGGGAGAACCCCAAAGUCAGCCAGACGCCUGACUGCCAGUCCCAGGGUGUGGGCUUUGGUCUGCCUGAGCUGACUGCAAGUGACCCAGAUGCGUUGAAGGUGGAACCAUUUCCCUUUUACCUGGAACAACCAAGUGCCUUCCAGGAUGGGGGUGUUUCCCCCUCACAGUCACCCGUGGCUCUCACUCCUCCCUAUCCCUUAGCAUCCCUCUUAGUCUCUGAGCGAGCUGAACCCACUCCAAAUCAAGUAACUGGGUUUACGCUA